CAUUAGUUAUAUGACUGACGGAAGUGGAAUUGACCACAGGGAGUAUAAUAAAUCAAAAUGAAGAAGCCGACCGUCUGGGCAAAGAAG
This 87-nucleotide non-coding RNA is filed under the name unclassified sequences. The record is from Rfam.